Molecule: long non-coding RNA, 418 nt
Organism: Hirundo rustica (Barn swallow)
Lineage: Eukaryota; Metazoa; Chordata; Aves; Passeriformes; Hirundinidae
Exons: 3
Source: RefSeq, a predicted model, not a curated record
AAAGGAUGGUGUUGCUGCUGGGAGAUUUCUAGAACUGGAUCUUUGUUCCUGCCCAAAGCAGCUCCUUGCUGACUUGCAAGUGUAAAGAGGCAACAAGACAGAGUCUGGUCUUGAUGACAGUAACUAUGAGAGAUCACAGUUUGGCAUGAGUUCUUGCACGGUGCCAUGAACACCAAGAACACUUCCACCAUGGCAAAGGCUUCUGCAUUCCAAGUAUUUGCUGAAUCACAAGGAAAAGUCACACUCUCUCUGACUUUUCAAGACUGAAAGGAAGACCUGCAGGUGCACUCCAUGUAGAACAUACAGCACCACACUGUGCUUUUUGGACACAUUUGUAUAAUGUUGCCUUCAAUGGAGUAGUGAAAAGAAGCUUGGAGUGAUAGAGAAAGCAAAAGCAUUAUCAGACAUUGUCCUGCCA